UACGGGGGGGGUAAGCGUUGUUCGGAAUUACUGGGCGUAAAGGGCUCGUAGGCGGCCAACUAAGUCAGACGUGAAAUCCCUCAGCUUAACUGGGGAACUGCGUCUGAUACUGGAUGGCUUGGAUCCGGGAGAGGGAUGCGGAAUUCCAGGUGUAGCGGUGAAAUGCGUAGAUAUCUGGAGGAACACCGGUGGCGAAGGCGGCGCUCUGGGCCGGAACUGACGCUGAGGAGCGAAAGCGUGGGUAGCAAACAGG
Molecule: ribosomal RNA, 253 nt
Filed under: uncultured bacterium
Lineage: Bacteria
Description: partial 16S ribosomal RNA
Rfam family: Bacterial small subunit ribosomal RNA
Source: RNAcentral